CAGAAAUUUCAUGAUAUUAGCAGAUCAUUGUCAAAAGAAUACAUAACAUUCACAUUUAUAUGAAGACUAUUCCCGUCCAAAAGUGAACAUGGCUGUGAAGAAAUAUAGAGAGAGAGGGGAAGAAAAGAACUACAUCGUAGGGUUUUUUACAGCUCAUCAAUGCAUAUUAUCUAUCACCUAGUUCAAAUGGAUGAGAAGUAGUGCAAACAAAUUUAAUGAAUUACAAAGAAGAAUAAACAAUGUGGGAUAAGAAGGAAUUGCAGUACAGAAAAUUCAACUGAAUUCCUUCUCGUGUGCUUAAUCAAUCAACUGACCUUUAAUUUUGCACAGAGAGACAGGAAGACCAUUUGGGUUGUAUCCUAGUUGCAUUCUCAUUCACUUAGAUUGCAGCUUCGAAGGUAUGGAUGAUCAUACUUAAUGUAUUUGGUCCAGUAUGACCGGUACUUUGUCAUUGCUAUCUCCAACCAUGGCUUCAUGUUGCCGUUAUAGUGGAUAACUGCUGCAUUUUCAAUAUCUGACCGAUCACCGCUUGGAUUGUAACCCAAACCAAGCACAUGCCAUGACUUCUCAAGUGGAUGUGUCAGACCAUAAAAUGUAAUCAGGCCUGGAGGCAAUGUUCCAAGCUUCCAAAGUACCCUAUCUUCAUUCAUGUUUUGCCACUUGUGAUAUAUGCCAGUGAUAUCCCUCUUUUUCCAUUCCUUAAGAUCAAAAAUAUUCAUCCCAUAUGCCCAACCACAAGCAUUUGGAUCAAAGUUUCUUGCAAUAUGAGGAUUUGAGAAGUUUAGGUACUUGUCAAACCGAUGGAAGCUUUCACCACAGGUUUCCACUGCCCCAUUCACUUUUCCAUUCAGAUUUACUGACCAUAAUCCAGUUAAAUCUUUCUGAACAACAAUGUCAUCAUCGAGAAACAGGAUCUUAUCUAACUUGGGAUAGACCUGUGGAAGGUAGAACCUCAGGUGGUUCAGCAUUGAAAGAUACUUUGGGUUCCGAUACUUCAAGUUUGAAGAACCGGAUGAAAGCGAGGUUGGAUGAUUUGCCUUAAAGUAAUACUCUUUCAUUGCAGCAGACUCGAGCUGCCGCAGAACUGGACAAUAGGAUGAGUUAAGCCACUUGAAUUCAUCAACAUUUUCAACAUGGAUAGUGGCUUUUCCAGGAGGGUUCAAUAGAAACCACAUAUUCAUAGCUCCAAAGUUAAGCUUAUCAGUAACAAGAUGGAACACAUGCUUGGAAGGAUCCUUGGCAUUCAUGAUGGUUGAGUUGACAACUACUGAUGCAGCCAAGACAUUGUCAGAGAAGAGAGCAUAAUGAUAAAGAUCAGGAUUUUCAAAAUUCUCACUUCUAGGGAACCUUCUCUUCUCUAGAGGAAGGAGAUAGUAUUCUAUUGUUAGGCGCAUAGACAAGCAAUGAAUUCCAUUGGGUACCGUUUUGGCAGCUAACUGACUCAGGAAUGUGCUCUGUUUUUUUAAGCUCCUAACUUGCUCAUCUGCUGUUUGAAGCAUCGCUCUGAGCUUUCCAGUGAUCAACUUGCAGUCGUACAAUUGUUCUCUCACUUUUGACAGAACUUGGCCCAUAGCUUUCAUUUUCUCAGGUGCACUGUGAUGCAGAUCAGAAUCAGCCAUUGCCUCUCCUAGGGCACGCUGACUCUCCUUGAGCCGAAUCUGUAGUUCAUGGAGCAAGUCAAGCUUGUUCUUCAUCUUUGCAAUGCUGAUAUAUACCCUUGCCAUUAUCAUCUGAUCCCGCAUUAAGCGUACUGUUGAAUCAGAGUUCUCAUUCUCAUUUUCUUUCCGCCAUAUACUGUACUUUCCCAGAACUGCAGUGUCAACUGAUUUAGUGCGUUCAAUGGCUGAAUUUUCAAGCUUUAAAAUCGCUUCAUUAUCUUGCCGCACCAAGUCAGCCACACGCUUUUCCCGUCUUUUUUCUCUCAAUUGCUGCAUAAUCUCUCAAAAAAUGAAAGUUAUAAUUCAGACACUGGCAGAUGCAUGACUAAGUUGGAAGUCCUUAAAUAUUUCCUAGUUUAACUCUAUGGAUUAUACUAGGCCUUAAGACACAUGCAAGAAUGCAGAAUAAACCGGGUAACUGCUAUUAAUGCGUACAAGGAUGAUACUUACCCUUCGAGCUAGUUUAGCAGGUGCGUCAAUGAAUUGAGAAUGAUCAUCUGCAGGGGGCAAACAGAUUAGCACCAGAUCAAAAUGCAAUCCAUAAACAUUUGCAAAUAGUUAAUUGACACUAAUACCAGAGAUGCCAUCCCCUUUGCCCCUUGGUGCCUCUUGCUUAGCAACUGUUGCUGUUUUCUGUGACUAUAAAGGUGAUGACAACCCAAAACCAUCAAUAUCAACAAGCUGACUGAUGAAAUGAAUUUUACACGAAAGAUAGAACGAAAGUGAUCCAGAAGAUAUAGAAAUUUCCAUCAGAUUGAAGCCAGAGCAUUAUAUACUUAUCCUUACCUCAGAAGUGGUAUUGUUCUUGACUGAUGUCUCUACCCCUGUAACUUUCCAUGAAGCUGAUAAAUUGUUUUUUCUGAAAGAAUCAAUACUUAAAGGCCCCAUAUCAGCUGUGCUGGCUGUGAUAACAUCAAUGACGUCUUUUGAAAGAAGGGAUUUAACAUGUUGCAAGGCCAGCCGCUCUCUCCAAUCCAAGUCCUGCUUACUUGAAGCAACUGGAAUAUUACUUUGAUCAAUGGAAGCAUUUGUGUAAAGACCUCGACCGACAAAGAAAAUCAACGGCGCCAAAACAGAGAAGAAAAUGACAAGUGCAAUAGGCAAUCGAGAUCCACCGCCUCGGUUCUUGUGGAUGCCGGCACCGGAUAAUCCCCGCUUCAACGCCAUUGCCUAUCAAAACCUAAAACUCAUAUAACAAAGAAAGAAAGGACUGAAAAAGAAAGAAAAAGAAAGGAAAUGAGAAUUACGAGAGCAAUUGAGAAGAGAUCUAGCGAGAGUCCAUAAGGACAGAAAUCAAAGUGGUAAGAGAAGAAAACGCGUAAAUGCAGAGAAAUGGAUAAAGAAAGUUAGUUAUGAUUGCAGCCAAGCCAACUCCUGGAGGAGAAUUUUUGUAUUGUAGAACAAGAAGAAAGAUUGUUUGAUUAGGAUUAGUAAACAGAGAUUUUCCACUUUCGGAUUUUGCUGCUCUCCUCUCGCUGAUAUGAAUUGAGAUAUGUGGUCUGUGAGUAUCUCUCUUCUUUUUCUCUUCU
This 3187-nucleotide unclassified non-coding RNA is filed under the name Hevea brasiliensis (rubber tree). Lineage: Eukaryota; Viridiplantae; Streptophyta; Magnoliopsida; Malpighiales; Euphorbiaceae. The record is from RNAcentral.